RNAcentral lists this ribosomal RNA (536 nucleotides) under uncultured bacterium. Its description in RNAcentral is "bacterial SSU rRNA". It matches the Rfam family "Bacterial small subunit ribosomal RNA", at positions 777 to 1311 of the family's 1533-position model. The record is from RNAcentral.
AAUAGAUACCCCGGUAGUCCACGCCGUAAACGAUGAGUGCUAAGUGUUAGAGGGUUUCCGCCCUUUAGUGCUGCAGCUAACGCAUUAAGCACUCCGCCUGGGGAGUACGGCCGCAAGGCUGAAACUCAAAGGAAUUGACGGGGGCCCGCACAAGCGGUGGAGCAUGUGGUUUAAUUCGAAGCAACGCGAAGAACCUUACCAGGUCUUGACAUCCUCUACCAACCCUAGAGAUAGGGCGUUCCCCUUCGGGGGACAGAGUGACAGGUGGUGCAUGGUUGUCGUCAGCUCGUGUCGUGAGAUGUUGGGUUAAGUCCCGCAACGAGCGCAACCCUUGAUCUUAGUUGCCAGCAUUUAGUUGGGCACUCUAAGGUGACUGCCGGUGACAAACCGGAGGAAGGUGGGGAUGACGUCAAAUCAUCAUGCCCCUUAUGACCUGGGCUACACACGUGCUACAAUGGAUGGUACAAAGAGCUGCGAACCCGCGAGGGUAAGCGAAUCUCAUAAAGCCAUUCUCAGUUCGGAUUGUAGGCUGCAAC